Molecule: ribosomal RNA, 482 nt
Filed under: uncultured bacterium
Lineage: Bacteria
Description: partial 16S ribosomal RNA
Rfam family: Bacterial small subunit ribosomal RNA
Source: RNAcentral
GACGAACGCUGGCGGCGUGCUUAACACAUGCAAGUCGAACGCUGAAGCUCAGCUUGCUGGGUGGAUGAGUGGCGAACGGGUGAGUAACACGUGAGUAACCUGCCCUCUUCUUUGGGAUAACGCCCGGAAACGGGUGCUAAUACUGGAUAUUCACUGAUUCUCGCAUGGGGGUUGGUGGAAAGGUUUUUUCUGGUGGGGGAUGGGCUCGCGGCCUAUCAGCUUGUUGGUGGGGUGAUGGCCUACCAAGGCUUUGACGGGUAGCCGGCCUGAGAGGGUGACCGGUCACAUUGGGACUGAGAUACGGCCCAGACUCCUACGGGAGGCAGCAGUGGGGAAUAUUGCACAAUGGGCGAAAGCCUGAUGCAGCGACGCCGCGUGAGGGAUGGAGGCCUGCGGGUUGGAAACCUCUUUCGCUCAUGGUCAAGCCGCAGCUUUGGGUUGUGGUGAGGGUAGUGGGUAAAGAAGCGCCGGCUAACUACGUG